UAGAGUUUGAUUCUGGCUCAGAUUGAACGCUGGCGGCAUGCCUUACACAUGCAAGUCGAACGGCAGCACGGGAGCAAUCCUGGUGGCGAGUGGCGAACGGGUGAGUAAUGUAUCGGAACGUACCUUUCAGUGGGGGAUAACGUAGCGAAAGUUACGCUAAUACCGCAUAUUCUGUGAGCAGGAAAGCAGGGGAUCGCAAGACCUUGCGCUGAUUGAGCGGCCGAUAUCAGAUUAGCUAGUUGGUGAGGUAAAGGCUCACCAAGGCGACGAUCUGUAGCGGGUCUGAGAGGAUGAUCCGCCACACUGGAACUGAGACACGGUCCAGACUCCUACGGGAGGCAGCAGUGGGGAAUUUUGGACAAUGGGCGCAAGCCUGAUCCAGCCAUGCCGCGUGAGUGAAGAAGGCCUUCGGGUUGUAAAGCUCUUUCAGCCGGGAAGAAAACGCAUGGGUUAAUACCCUGUGUGGAUGACGGUACCGGUAUAAGAAGCACCGGCUAACUACGUGCCAGCAGCCGCGGUAAUAC
This 524-nucleotide ribosomal RNA is filed under the name uncultured Ferribacterium sp. Its description in RNAcentral is "bacterial SSU rRNA". It matches the Rfam family "Bacterial small subunit ribosomal RNA", at positions 1 to 526 of the family's 1533-position model. The record is from RNAcentral. Lineage: Bacteria; Pseudomonadati; Pseudomonadota; Betaproteobacteria; Rhodocyclales; Azonexaceae.